RNAcentral lists this ribosomal RNA (253 nucleotides) under uncultured bacterium. RNAcentral describes it as "partial 16S ribosomal RNA". It matches the Rfam family "Bacterial small subunit ribosomal RNA", at positions 524 to 776 of the family's 1533-position model. The record is from RNAcentral.
UACGAAGGGGGCUAGCGUUGUUCGGAAUUACUGGGCGUAAAGCGUGCGCAGGCGGCUUCUCAAGUCAGGGGUGAAAGCCCAGAGCUCAACUCUGGAAUUGCCUUUGAGACUGAGUGGCUUGAGUACGAGAGAGGUGAGUGGAACUCCGAGUGUAGAGGUGAAAUUCGUAGAUAUUGGGAGGAACACCAGUGGCGAAGGCGGCUCACUGGACCGGUUCUGACGCUGAGGCGCGAAAGCGUGGGGAGCAAACGGG